RNAcentral lists this ribosomal RNA (460 nucleotides) under uncultured bacterium. RNAcentral's name for it is "partial 16S ribosomal RNA". It matches the Rfam family "Bacterial small subunit ribosomal RNA", at positions 338 to 795 of the family's 1533-position model. The record is from RNAcentral.
CCUACGGGAGGCAGCAGUGAGGAAUAUUGGUCAAUGGCCGGAAGGCUGAACCAGCCAUGCCGCGUGAAGGUCAGUGCCCUAUGGGCGUUAAACUUCUUUUGUGCGGGAGCAAUAAUGGUCACGUGUGGCCAGACGAGAGUACCGUACGAAUAAGCAUCGGCUAACUUCGUGCCAGCAGCCGCGGUAAUACGGGGGAUGCAAGCGUUAUCCGGAUUUAUUGGGUUUAAAGGGUGCGUAGGCUGUGAGGUAAGUCAGCGGUGAAAUGCCACCGCUCAACGGGGUGAAGUGCCAUUGAUACUGCCUGGCUGGAAUGCGGAUGCCGUGGGAGGAAUGUGUGGUGUAGCGGUGAAAUGCAUAGAUAUCACACAGAACACCGAUUGCGAAGGCAUCUCACGAAUCCGCGAUUGACGCUGAUGCACGAAAGCGUGGGUAUCAAACAGGAUUAGAUACCCUUGUAGUC